Molecule: ribosomal RNA, 281 nt
Filed under: Ralstonia solanacearum
Lineage: Bacteria; Pseudomonadati; Pseudomonadota; Betaproteobacteria; Burkholderiales; Burkholderiaceae
Description: partial 16S ribosomal RNA
Rfam family: Bacterial small subunit ribosomal RNA
Source: RNAcentral
GGUAGCUUGCUACCUGCCGGCGAGUGGCGAACGGGUGGUAAUACAUCGGAACGUGCCCUGUAGUGGGGGAUAACUAGUCGAAAGACUAGCUAAUACCGCAUACGACCUGAGGGUGAAAGUGGGGGACCGCAAGGCCUCAUGCUAUAGGAGCGGCCGAUGUCUGAUUAGCUAGUUGGUGGGGUAAAGGCCCCCAAGGCGACGAUCAGUAGCUGGUCUGAGAGGACGAUCAGCCACACUGGGACUGAGACACGGCCCAGACUCCUACGGGAGGCAGCAGUGGG